GGACGAACGCUGGCGGCGUGCUUAACACAUGCAAGUCGAACGGUAAGGCCCUUUCGGGGGUACACGAGUGGCGAACGGGUGAGUAACACGUGGGUGACCUGCCCUGUACUUCGGGAUAAGCCUGGGAAACUGGGUCUAAUACCGGAUAUGACCUUCUCCUGCAUGGGGGUUGGUGGAAAGCUUUUGCGGUAUGGGAUGGGCCCGCGGCCUAUCAGCUUGUUGGUGGGGUAAUGGCCUACCAAGGCGACGACGGGUAGCCGGCCUGAGAGGGCGACCGGCCACACUGGGACUGAGACACGGCCCAGACUCCUACGGGAGGCAGCAGUGGGGAAUAUUGCACAAUGGGCGCAAGCCUGAUGCAGCGACGCCGCGUGAGGGAUGACGGCCUUCGGGUUGUAAACCUCUUUCAGUAGGGACGAAGCGCAAGUGACGGUACCUACAGAAGAAGCACCGGCCAACUACGUGCCAGCAGCCGCGGUAAUACGUAGGGUGCGAGCGUUGUCCGGAAUUACUGGGCGUAAAGAGCUCGUAGGCGGUUUGUCACGUCGUCUGUGAAAACCCGAGGCUUAACCUCGGGCCUGCAGGCGAUACGGGCAGACUUGAGUACUGUAGGGGAGACUGGAAUUCCUGGUGUAGCGGUGGAAUGCGCAGAUAUCAGGAGGAACACCGGUGGCGAAGGCGGGUCUCUGGGCAGUAACUGACGCUGAGGAGCGAAAGCGUGGGUAGCGAACAGGAUUAGAUACCCUGGUAGUCCACGCCGU
RNAcentral lists this ribosomal RNA (761 nucleotides) under Tsukamurella sp. Its description in RNAcentral is "bacterial SSU rRNA". It matches the Rfam family "Bacterial small subunit ribosomal RNA", at positions 27 to 803 of the family's 1533-position model. The record is from RNAcentral. Lineage: Bacteria; Bacillati; Actinomycetota; Actinomycetes; Mycobacteriales; Tsukamurellaceae.